GUGCUCGCUUCGGCAGCACAUAAACUAAAAUUGGAACGAUACAGAGAUUAGCAUGGUCCCUGUGCAAGGAUGACACGCAAACUCAUGAAGCAUUUCAUAUUUUA
This 104-nucleotide small nuclear RNA is filed under the name Cervus elaphus hippelaphus. Lineage: Eukaryota; Metazoa; Chordata; Mammalia; Artiodactyla; Cervidae. RNAcentral also lists the same sequence under 1 other name. The record is from RNAcentral.